AGGCUACCAAAGCAAGAUGCCGAUGUGAUUUAUCUUCUAUAUGUGCUAUCAUCUCAGUACAUCCUGGCUUUUGCUUCUGAGGAUUGUUACCAGAAUAUCUUCUUCCUCGUCCAAUAAGUCAUUAGUGACUUGUAAUGCAGCCUUCUUUAUAGCCUCCACAGGCUUAGCUGGAGUUUAGAUCACUGUAUGAAGAUGAUAAUUGGCUGCUUUCUCCUGUUGUCACUUACAGACUCUGUAGAUGUCCUUGUCUUUCCUCCUUCCUGAGUUGCAUGAUUCUGCAGAGUUAUCAUCAAAUCAAGGGAGAAUUUCUACCAUAAAGCCACUGCAAGAAAAGAACUCUGUAAAAGGAUUAUCUCUAUACCUCGUGGAAAUACGUUGGUUUGUAGGCUAUGGAAGGCCAACUAAAAUUGAUUUUCAAAUAGUGGUAGGAUGGCAAAUACUAAAAAUGUGGAACUUAGACUGGAGCCUUUUUAAUUCUGAUUUGUGUUCAGUGCUCAGGUGCUGAUGAAUGUAAAAUUCAAGUGCUAGGUGUGAACGUUUCUUUGAUUACUGACAAGAUGGAUGGCAAUCGUUUGUUUGACUUCACACCAUCUCUGAUCCUUGUCUCUCUCCUACUGUCAAAAUUCUCAAUUAGUUUCAUUCUGACCCUCAGUGCAGGAAGGGUCUCCUGCUACGGGACUUCCUCCUACAGCUGCAUUUACAGCAGGUGGACUCUGAGUGUUCAGUUCAUGACCUGCUGCUUGUUCUGCUUUCCUGAGGUGUUUCUGUAUCUGAACAAGCUAGACUGACAUCUGUGACUAUGUCCUCUUUCUGCAGUAACGGUCACACUUACGAGAUGUCUUCCUCUGUUCACACCCUGCCAGCUAUGUCAAAGCCUUUCUUGAGAUCCAAAGGCCUGUCCUCCAGUUGCUUAGAGGAUGACCACAAGCAUUUUUGGCUGCUGUGAAUUCACCUCUCUACUUUGAGUCUGUUUUAAACCUUGGGCUUCUGUGGUGAAUAAUGGGAUUAAAUAUUGCAGUACUCUUUUGUUUGCUUUCCUGAAAUAGCACUCCCUUCUGUGUAGCAUUUUAUUUUUCUCAGUGUAGGUAGAUUAUGGUUUUAGCCAAGUAUUCUUUUAAAAUAAUCCUUUGAACCAGAAGUAUCAUGUUGCUGAUUUUUAAUAAGGUUAUUUCUAUUCUUAUUUAAUUACUUUUACAUUAAACGUUGUCAUCUUUAUAGAUGUCCAAACUGAAGGUGUGUGUAUAUUGCCCAUUUCUAGUCUCCAUGGGAAGGUUUCUGAGCAGAGAUUACAUUGCACUUGCUGUUUGAACUGCUUGCUACUCAUCUCUUGCUUAUAGAAUCUUAAUAAAGUAAGUUAAGUGUUGUAGCUGGAAGACA
This 1377-nucleotide long non-coding RNA is filed under the name Numida meleagris (helmeted guineafowl). Its description in RNAcentral is "lncRNA (ENSNMEG00000012440.1)". The record is from RNAcentral. Lineage: Eukaryota; Metazoa; Chordata; Aves; Galliformes; Numididae.